This 168-nucleotide ribosomal RNA is filed under the name Hypomesus nipponensis (Japanese smelt). RNAcentral describes it as "partial 12S ribosomal RNA". The record is from RNAcentral. Lineage: Eukaryota; Metazoa; Chordata; Actinopteri; Osmeriformes; Osmeridae.
CACCGCGGUUAUACGAGUGGCCCAAGUUGAAGGUUGCCGGCGUAAAGAGUGGUUAGGGAAUCAACAAACUAAAGCCGAACACCCUCCAGGCUGUUAUACGCUCCUGAGGGCACGAAGCCCCACUACGAAAGUGGCUUUAAUUCACCUGAACCCACGACAGCUAGGGUA